GAUGAAGAACGCAGCGAAAUGCGAUAAGUAAUGUGAAUUGCAGAAUUCAGUGAAUCAUCGAAUCUUUGAACGCACAUUGCGCCCCCUGGUAUUCCGGGGGGCAUGCCUGUUCGAGCGUCAUUUCACCACUCAAGCCUCGCUUGGUAUUGGGCAACGCGGUCCGCCGCGUGCCUCAAAUCGACCGGCUGGGUCUUCUGUCCCCUAAGCGUUGUGGAAACUAUUCGCUAAAGGGUGUUCGGGAGGCUACGCCGUAAAACAACCCCAUUUCUAAGGUUGACCUCGGAACAGGUAGGGAUACCCGCUGAACUUAAGCAUAUCAAUAAGCGGAGGA
RNAcentral lists this unclassified non-coding RNA (331 nucleotides) under soil metagenome. RNAcentral describes it as "partial contains 5.8S ribosomal RNA, internal transcribed spacer 2, and large subunit ribosomal RNA". The stretch from base 1 to 120 matches the Rfam family "5.8S ribosomal RNA", at positions 35 to 154 of the family's 154-position model. The record is from RNAcentral.